CCUACGGGAGGCAGCAAUUAGGAAUCUUGCGCAAUGGGGGCAACCCUGACGCAGCGACACAGUGUGGAGGAGGAAGGUCUUCGGAUUGUAAACUCCUUUUAUGAGGGAAGAAUAGAUGACGGUACCUCAUGAAUAAGCCCCUGCUAACUACGUGCCAGAAGCAUCGGUGAUGAGUAGGGUGCGAACGUUAUCCGGAUAUAUUGGGCGUAUAGAGAUGCGUAGGUGUUUUUGUAAGUCUUUAGUUAAAUACCACGGCUCAACCGUGGAGAAGCCUUGGAAACUACAGAAAUUGAGACAGGAAUGGGCGAAUGGAAUUCCCAGUGGAGCGGUGAAAUGCGUUGAGAUUGGGAGGAACAUCAGUGGCGAAGGCGAGUCGCUGGUCCUUGUCUGACACUAAGGCUCGAAAGCGUGGGGAGCGAAAC
Molecule: ribosomal RNA, 422 nt
Filed under: uncultured prokaryote
Description: bacterial SSU rRNA
Rfam family: Bacterial small subunit ribosomal RNA
Source: RNAcentral